Long non-coding RNA from Oncorhynchus masou masou (cherry salmon), 3847 nucleotides. RefSeq lists it as uncharacterized. Lineage: Eukaryota; Metazoa; Chordata; Actinopteri; Salmoniformes; Salmonidae. The record is from RefSeq and is a predicted model, not a curated record. The transcript has 3 exons.
AUAAUACAACUAAUGAUUAAUAAAAUAACUAAUUAUUAAUAAAAUAACUCAUAAUGAAUAAUAUAACUAAUGAUUAACAAUAUAACUAAUGAUUAAUAAUAUAAGUUAUGAUUAAUGAUUUAACUAGUGAUUAAUAAUAUAACUAAUGAUUAAUAGUUAAAGCUCAGAAAUCCAAAUCCAUCAAUAUGAACAAUGUGCUUAGCUGGAAAGUCCAAGUAGAGUGUCUGCUCCAGUGUCCAACAACACCUCUAUUUCCUACACAGACUCAGGGUUAUUAGAGUUACCAGAGAAUAAUGCUCCUGGUCUUCAGGGGAAAGCCCUCAUUGAUCUACUCUGGUUGCGCGCAAUUGGCUGCGCUUAAUUGGCGCAUUCACAAUGGUUCGAUGGGUGAGUGAAUUCAUUGGGACAGUGCAACAGCCGUACUGGGGGACUCAGUCAGCUGUAGCCCAACAGCACGUACUGGGGGACUCAGUCAGAUGUAUCCCAACAGCACAUACUGGGGGACUCAGUCAGCUGUAGCCCAACAGCACGUUCUGGGGGACUCAGUCAGCUGUAGCCCAACAGCACGUACUGGGAUACUCAGUCAGCUGUAGCCCAACAGCACAUUCUGGGGGACUCAGUCAGCUGUAACCCAACAGCAUGUACUGGGACACUCAGUCAGCUGUAACCCAACAACACGUACUGGGGGACUCAGUCAGCUGUAGCCCACUUGGGUGCUGCUAUAGAGAUUCAUUAGUAGUGUCCGCCCAUGAAGGCUUGAUGUCAUUUGCCACAGAUAAAUCGACGUAGCAAUUUCAUAGUUGUUUAUCGUCUUCUAGUUAGCUAGUUGAAAAGUCAUCAUGAAUCAUGUCAACAAUCGCCUAGCAAAUUAUUUUCAAACUUGUUGAGAUAAAACAUAUUGGAGCUCAUCAACCACUGAACAGACCUCAGUUAAAAUAGAGCAAGUUAGAAAAUAAUUAAACCUGAGUUUGGAUGGAACUUUGGAUGGAACUUGUGUGACAAAGUGAAAAUGUAGUUUCCAUCAACCUCACGCGCAAUGUAGAUAUCAAAGAACGCCGCAGUUCGUGGGUAGAGUAGUGGGUGAAACCAUUCACUUCAGGAAAAGGUGUGAUAUUGUUACCCUCCCAAUGAGCUUAUCAUAUAAACUACAACGCGAAAAGUACGGUUUACUUCACUUUUAAUCAUGUCGGCACAGGUAGCAGACGUUUACAGUCUUUCUUUAGUUUUUGAUCCUUACUCUUCCCAAUCAGUGUUGCCAACUCCUCAGUAAGGAAAGUAGCUAUUGGCUGUCCUAAAAGUCAUAUAAUUGUGAUGUAUGCUGUAGGAGAGUGGAAUAACGUCGUGGGAGAGACACAUUUUUUGUUGUUGUAAAAAACAUCCUGAAUAUGUUUAGAACUACAAAUGAACUUUCUUCUGUCGAUUAUUUUUUUUAUGUCACAAUUCCAACCCUCUUCCUUUAUCCGGGCUUGGGACUGGCAAAAGUGACCCAAAAGAGACACUCUGGCGAAGUUACUUUGUGGGUGUUUUUUGUUUUUAAGUUUAGUUUUUUACAUUUACAUCCCGCCCUGAUUGUAAGCCAGGGCGGCUUCCCGCAUGCGCGAUUCAUUUGCAGUCUGGACGCGGAGGGGUGAACGUCUCCUGCUCUGACUGCUGCUGGGAGGGACUGCUGCGCGAGGACUCGGCCGCAAUAUUGUUCCCAAUUCACUUAAACUAUAUUUCUUUAUUUCCAAUGGGCUUCACCAGAGUAUCCCAUAGCCGCAAUAUUGUUCCCAAUUCACUUAAACUAUAUUUCUUUAUUUCCAAUGGGCUUCACCAGAGUAUCCCAUAGUGUCUGGAAUACAACUGUAUUAAGCCCCUUACAUCCACCCCCCUGCAAAAACGACAUGUUGUCUCAAACAUUUCACUGGCCUCAAAACAAACAGAAUAUGUAAGUACUGGUCAUGAGAACAACAGAGAAAACUGGCCUAACAGCCAUAUAACUAUCUAGACGUGUCCCGUCUGCCUUUAUGGGCAAAAACGCAACCCCCACUAAACAUUAUCACACUGACUAGUAAAGGUAAACGAGAAAAUAUAUACACAUCAGAACAUCUCUAGUUGGUAUCCUGCUAAGAGCUUGGCAGCCCUAAAGUGUUAUAGGUUAGAAUUUCUCUGGGCCUCCUGCGGGCUGAACGGAGGGGCAAGGUCAUGGGUUACCCCAAUGAAUCAGUGUCCACUUCGUGAUGAGAUGAUUGAGUCUGCGUAAAGAAUCACCAGCAGCAAGAGCAGCGAAAUUGAUGAAUAUACAGAGAAGAGAGUUGGCCCGAGAAUUGAACCCUGUGGCACCCCCAUAGAGACAACAGGCCCUCCGAUUUUACACCCUGACACACAUUAUCAGAGAAGUAGUUGGUGAACCAGGUGAGGCAAUUAUUUGAGAAACCAAAGCUGUUGAGUCUGCCAAUAAGAAUGUUGUGAUUGACAGUCGAAAGCCUUAGCCAGGUCGAUGAAUACGGCUGCACAGUAAUGUCUCUUUUCGAUGGCGGUUAUGAUAUCAUUUAGGACCUUGAGCGUGGCUGAGGUGCACCCAUAACCAGCUCUGAAACCAGAUUGCAUAGCGGAGAAGGUACGGUGGGAUUCGAAAUGGUCGGUAAUCUGUUUGUUAACUUGGCUUUCGAAGACCUUAGAAAGGCAGGGUAGGAUAGAUAUAGGUCUGUAGCAGUUUGGUCUAGUGUCUCCCCCUUUGAAGAGGGGGAUGACCACUGCAGCUUUCCAAUCUAUGGUAAUCUCGGACGAUACGAAAGAGAGGUUGAACAGGCUAGUAAUAGGGGUUGCAACAAUUCCGGCCAAUCAUUUUAGAAAGAGAGGGUAGGGAAGGAUGAGGAGGAGAUCAGAUCCUCACUUCUCAUUGCCGUCCACCUCAUUGUCAGUGCCAUGGACGGUGAGAUAGAGAGCAGUUUUCACAGGAUUCUCUGUCAGGAUUUGGCCAGGGUUGUUCCGGGUUUUGGUCACUAGAUGCCCCCAUUGUGCUUUUUGACCUUAUGUUUUUUCCCUUGAUUCCCAUUAUUAUUUGCACCUGUGCCUCGUUUUCCCCUGAUUGUAUUUAAACCCUUAGUUUCCCUCAGUUCUGUGCUCUGUGUUUGUAUGUUAGCACCCAGCCCUAGUGUUCUGUGUAUUCUUGUCGAUUCCGGUGGACGCUCUUGUGGAAUUCUGUUUUUCUUUUUUGAGUAUCUCUUGAGGCUUUUUUGUGCUAUACCUACCACCUUUUGGAUUUGCCAUUUUGUAUUGAAGGACUUCUCCUUUUUACUUUAUUAAAUACACCGUCUUAAGUACUGCUGUGUCUGCCUCAUCUUCUGGGUUCUGCUGACUAUUCGUGGCUCAGUUGGUUAAGUGACUGUUUCUCACUCCGGAGACCCAGGAAUGACAGAUGAGGGUCUCUCUGUGUUCGGAUCCUGUUGCAGUCCUCCAGUCUUACAGACCCUGCAGAUCCUGGUGCAGCAUGUGGCAGCAGGGAGUGGGGAGACCCUCUGAGAGAUGCAGGUCUGGCUGUUCUGACUGAGGAGGAGCUGUAUCAGAGGACAGAGAGUCUCUUUGGUCACUCUGAAGUUACACUGAAGAGAGAGGAGGACACACUGAGGACAGAGAUGAAGGACCAGCCUGGAUACCUUCCUCUAGUCAUGAGUAUCACUGUGAAAGGCCUGGCCUCUUUACUGUAAGGAGGGAGAGAGAGAACAUGCAACUUGUAAAUCCUGUUUGAACUGAUACACUCAGUAUUUCAUUCCAUGUCUUACUCCUGCACUAGUUGAGCUGAAGAACUAGUGAUCAACAGUGAAUGUAUCCUUGUAAUGUUUUCAGUAAAGUUCAACAAACGAUA